Molecule: ribosomal RNA, 497 nt
Filed under: uncultured bacterium
Lineage: Bacteria
Description: partial 16S ribosomal RNA
Rfam family: Bacterial small subunit ribosomal RNA
Source: RNAcentral
GACGAACGCUGGCGGCGUGCCUAAUACAUGCAAGUUGAGCGCUGAAGGUUGGUACUUGUACCGACUGGAUGAGCAGCGAACGGGUGAGUAACGCGUGGGGAAUCUGCCUUUGAGCGGGGGACAACAUUUGGAAACGAAUGCUAAUACCGCAUAAAAACUUUAAACACAAGUUUUAAGUUUGAAAGAUGCAAUUGCAUCACUCAAAGAUGAUCCCGCGUUGUAUUAGCUAGUUGGUGAGGUAAGGGCUCACCAAGGCGAUGAUACAUAGCCGACCUGAGAGGGUGAUCGGCCACAUUGGGACUGAGACACGGCCCAAACUCCUACAGGAGGCAGCAGUAGGGAAUCUUCGGCAAUGGACGAAAGUCUGACCGAGCAACGCCGCGGGAGUGAAGAAGGGUUUCGGAUCGUAAAACUCUGUUGGUAGAGAAGAACGUUGGUGAGAGUGGAAAGCUCAUCAAGUGACGGUAACUACCCAGAAAGGGACGGCUAACUACGUG